Molecule: transfer RNA, 95 nt
Filed under: Daldinia loculata
Lineage: Eukaryota; Fungi; Ascomycota; Sordariomycetes; Xylariales; Hypoxylaceae
Description: tRNA-Gly
Rfam family: tRNA
About the family: Transfer RNA (tRNA) molecules are approximately 80 nucleotides in length. Their secondary structure includes four short double-helical elements and three loops (D, anti-codon, and T loops).
Source: RNAcentral
GCAUCCGUGGAGUAGUAGUUAACUUAUUCCUCUCCCAUUUCCCCUGGUGGUCUAAUGGUUAAGGAAAGACCCGGGUGCAAAUCCCGGCGGAUGCA